CCUACGGGUGGCAGCAGUGGGGAAUAUUGGGCAAUGGACGCAAGCCUGACCCAGCAACGCCGCGUGAAGGAAGAAGGCUUUCGGGGUGUAAACCUCUUUUAAGGGGGAAGAGCAGAAGACGGUACCCCUUCAAUAAGCCACGGCUAACUACGUGCCAGCAGCCGCGGUAAUACGGAGGUGGCAAGCGUUGUCCGGAUUUACUGGGUGUAAAGGGCGUGCAGCCGGAGAGACAAGUCAGGAGUGAAAUCCACGGGCACAACCCGUGAACUGCAUUUGAAACUGUUUCCCUUGAGUGUAGGAGAGGUAAGCGGAAUGCCUUGUGUAGCGGUGAAAUGCGUAGAUAUAAGGAAGAACACCAGUGGCGAAGGCGGAUUACUGGACGAUAACUGACGGUGAGGCGCGAAAGCGUGGGGAGCAAACAGGAUUAGAUACCCCUGUAGUC
This 442-nucleotide ribosomal RNA is filed under the name uncultured bacterium. RNAcentral's name for it is "partial 16S ribosomal RNA". It matches the Rfam family "Bacterial small subunit ribosomal RNA", at positions 338 to 795 of the family's 1533-position model. The record is from RNAcentral.